UUAAGCGACUAAGCGUACACGGUGGAUGCCCUGGCAGUCAGAGGCGAUGAAGGACGUGCUAAUCUGCGAAAAGCGUCGGUAAGGUGAUAUGAACCGUUACAGCCGGCGAUGUCCGAAUGGGGAAACCCAGUGCAAUUCGUUGCACUAUCGUUAACUGAAUACAUAGGUUAACGAGGCGAACCGGGGGAACUGAAACAUCUAAGUACCCCGAGGAAAAGAAAUCAACCGAGAUUCCCCCAGUAGCGGCGAGCGAACGGGGAGCAGCCCAGAGUCUGAAUCAGCUUGUGUGUUAGUGGAACGGUCUGGAAAGUCCGACGGUACAGGGUGAUAGUCCCGUACACCAAAAUGCACAGGCUGUGAACUCGAAGAGUAGGGCGGGACACGUGGUAUCCUGUCUGAAUAUGGGGGGACCAUCCUCCAAGGCUAAAUACUCCUGACUGACCGAUAGUGAACCAGUACCGUGAGGGAAAGGCGAAAAGAACCCCGGCGAGGGGAGUGAAAAAGAACCUGAAACCGUGUACGUACAAGCAGUGGGAGCACCUUCGGGUGUGACUGCGUACCUUUUGUAUAAUGGGUCAGCGACUUAUAUUCUGUAGCAAGGUUAACCGUAUAGGGGAGCCGCAGGGAAACCGAGUCUUAACUGGGCGUUAAGUUGCAGGGUAUAGACCCGAAACCCGGUGAUCUAGCCAUGGGCAGGUUGAAGGUUGGGUAACACUAACUGGAGGACCGAACCGACUAAUGUUGAAAAAUUAGCGGAUGACUUGUGGCUGGGGGUGAAAGGCCAAUCAAACCGGGAGAUAGCUGGUUCUCCCCGAAAGCUAUUUAGGUAGCGCCUCGUGAACUCAUCUUCGGGGGUAGAGCACUGUUUCGGCUAGGGGGUCAUCCCGACUUACCAACCCGAUGCAAACUACGAAUACCGAAGAAUGUUAUCACGGGAGACACACGGCGGGUGCUAACGUCCGUCGUGAAGAGGGAAACAACCCAGACCGCCAGCUAAGGUCCCAAAGUCAUGGUUAAGUGGGAAACGAUGUGGGAAGGCACAGACAGCCAGGAUGUUGGCUUAGAAGCAGCCAUCAUUUAAAGAAAGCGUAAUAGCUCACUGGUCGAGUCGGCCUGCGCGGAAGAUGUAACGGGGCUAAACCAUGCACCGAAGCUGCGGCAGCGACACUAUGUGUUGUUGGGUAGGGGAGCGUUCUGUAAGCCUGCGAAGGUGUGCUGUGAGGCAUGCUGGAGGUAUCAGAAGUGCGAAUGCUGACAUAAGUAACGAUAAAGCGGGUGAAAAGCCCGCUCGCCGGAAGACCAAGGGUUCCUGUCCAACGUUAAUCGGGGCAGGGUGAGUCGACCCCUAAGGCGAGGCCGAAAGGCGUAGUCGAUGGGAAACAGGUUAAUAUUCCUGUACUUGGUGUUACUGCGAAGGGGGGACGGAGAAGGCUAUGUUAGCCGGGCGACGGUUGUCCCGGUUUAAGCAUGUAGGCUGGUUAUCCAGGCAAAUCCGGAUAAUCAAGGCUGAGGUGUGAUGACGAGGCACUACGGUGCUGAAGUAACAAAUGCCCUGCUUCCAGGAAAAGCCUCUAAGCAUCAGGUAACAUUAAAUCGUACCCCAAACCGACACAGGUGGUCAGGUAGAGAAUACCAAGGCGCUUGAGAGAACUCGGGUGAAGGAACUAGGCAAAAUGGUGCCGUAACUUCGGGAGAAGGCACGCUGGUGUGUAGGUGAAGUCCCUGCGGAUGGAGCUGAGACCAGUCGAAGAUACCAGCUGGCUGCAACUGUUUAUUAAAAACACAGCACUGUGCAAACACGAAAGUGGACGUAUACGGUGUGACGCCUGCCCGGUGCCGGAAGGUUAAUUGAUGGGGUUAUCCGUAAGGAGAAGCUCUUGAUCGAAGCCCCGGUAAACGGCGGCCGUAACUAUAACGGUCCUAAGGUAGCGAAAUUCCUUGUCGGGUAAGUUCCGACCUGCACGAAUGGCGUAAUGAUGGCCAGGCUGUCUCCACCCGAGACUCAGUGAAAUUGAACUCGCUGUGAAGAUGCAGUGUACCCGCGGCAAGACGGAAAGACCCCGUGAACCUUUACUAUAGCUUGACACUGAACAUUGAGCCUUGAUGUGUAGGAUAGGUGGGAGGCUUUGAAGCGUGGACGCCAGUCUGCGUGGAGCCAACCUUGAAAUACCACCCUUUAAUGUUUGAUGUUCUAACGUUGGCCCCUGACCGGGGUUGCGGACAGUGUCUGGUGGGUAGUUUGACUGGGGCGGUCUCCUCCCAAAGCGUAACGGAGGAGCACGAAGGUUAGCUAAUCCUGGUCGGACAUCAGGAGGUUAGUGCAAUGGCAUAAGCUAGCUUGACUGCGAGCGUGACGGCGCGAGCAGGUGCGAAAGCAGGUCAUAGUGAUCCGGUGGUUCUGAAUGGAAGGGCCAUCGCUCAACGGAUAAAAGGUACUCCGGGGAUAACAGGCUGAUACCGCCCAAGAGUUCAUAUCGACGGCGGUGUUUGGCACCUCGAUGUCGGCUCAUCACAUCCUGGGGCUGAAGUAGGUCCCAAGGGUAUGGCUGUUCGCCAUUUAAAGUGGUACGCGAGCUGGGUUUAGAACGUCGUGAGACAGUUCGGUCCCUAUCUGCCGUGGGCGCUGGAGAAUUGAGGGGGGCUGCUCCUAGUACGAGAGGACCGGAGUGGACGCAUCACUGGUGUUCGGGUUGUCAUGCCAAUGGCACUGCCCGGUAGCUAAAUGCGGAAGAGAUAAGUGCUGAAAGCAUCUAAGCACGAAACUUGCCCCGAGAUGAGUUCUCCCUGAGACUUUAAGUCUCCUGAAGGAACGUUAAAGACGAUGACGUUGAUAGGCCGGGUGUGUAAGCGCAGCGAUGCGUUGAGCUAACCGGUACUAAUGAACCGUGAGGCUUAACCUU
This 2900-nucleotide ribosomal RNA is filed under the name Klebsiella pneumoniae. Its description in RNAcentral is "23S ribosomal RNA". It matches the Rfam family "Bacterial large subunit ribosomal RNA". Lineage: Bacteria; Pseudomonadati; Pseudomonadota; Gammaproteobacteria; Enterobacterales; Enterobacteriaceae. The record is from RNAcentral.